Molecule: ribosomal RNA, 497 nt
Filed under: uncultured bacterium
Lineage: Bacteria
Description: partial 16S ribosomal RNA
Rfam family: Bacterial small subunit ribosomal RNA
Source: RNAcentral
GAUGAACGCUGGCGGCGUGCCUAAUACAUGCAAGUCGAGCGAACGGACGAGAAGCUUGCUUCUCUGAUGUUAGCGGCGGACGGGUGAGUAACACGUGGAUAACCUACCUAUAAGACUGGGAUAACUUCGGGAAACCGGAGCUAAUACCGGAUAAUAUUUUGAACCGCAUGGUUCAAAAGUGAAAGACGGUCUUGCUGUCACUUAUAGAUGGAUCCGCGCUGCAUUAGCUAGUUGGUAAGGUAACGGCUUACCAAGGCAACGAUGCAUAUCCGACCUGAGAGGGUGAUCGGCCACACUGGAACUGAGACACGGUCCAGACUCCUACGGGAGGAAGCAGUAGGGAAUCUUCCGCAAUGGGCGAAAGCCUGACGGAGCAACGCCGCGUGAGUGAUGAAGGUCUUCGGAUCGUAAAACUCUGUUAUUAGGGAAGAACAUAUGUGUAAGUAACUGUGCACAUCUUGACGGUACCUAAUCAGAAAGCCACGGCUAACUACGUG